AUCAUUUAACUAUUAAAAUCUAUGAAUUUUUACUAGCAAAAAUUGUGCUUGAUAAAUUUUAUCAUUAAAUAUAUAUUAUAAGAUCAAUAAUAACACACAUAAAUACUCCAAAUUAAAGAGUUUUGAUUUGUGAUAAUUAGUAUUACUUAUAUACCUUGAGGAGGCUCCUUUAAUCUUGAUGUAAAGUGCACAAAUCUUAGAAAAAUCCGCAUUAGAUACUUUGUCCCUGCAAAUUAAGAGAAGAAGACCAGAUAACUAAAACCCAUCAAUUAAUCAUAUAUUGUUAAUAACUACUCAUAUCUAUAUUGAGAUAUAUAUUAUGUACACAUACAAAGCUUUACCCAUAUCUAAUAAGAUGAUUUCAUAUUCAACCACGAAGGUGCAAACCAUAUCAUAGAAAUAAUUUGGAUCACAACCAAAAUCUCCUUUCAAUUCAUAUGCUACUACAAGAAAGUGAUCUACCAUAUCCUUUAAUAAAAAUUGAAUGCAAAUCAAUCAAUGACAUUGAUAUAUAUACAUGAUCGGUAAAUAAAUAAAAGAAAAAUAUAUCAGAUGUUAAGCAUUAAACCUCUUAUUCCAUCGAGUGGAUCAUGUGGAGGAGCUGUGUGCUUUGAUCCUUCUAUUCGAAAUGAUUGGAUAAGAGCUAUAACAACCCAUACCUCUAUAGGGAGUUAGGGUACCAUAAAAACUUAUAUUCCCAGCACGAAAAAUACAAUAAAGUUGUAUCUCUAAAUAAAAAUAAGUGUGUCUAAGAGCAAUGUUCACAUCACUUGCUAGUGAGGGUUAACCAUUAGAUUUAUCUAAAAUUAAAAAAAAAUAUAAUUAAAGUUUGUGUAAAUUAUCCUUUCUUACACAUGGAUCACAGAGAACAUUGUCUCUGCUCACCCAAAUCAGCUCCUAGAGUUUGUUUGUUCCAUUGUUAAUCCCAUUCCUACUUCCAAACAACAUCACUUUUACCCUCACAGAGAACACUAUCUCGCUCACCUGGAUUUGCCUCCUAGAAUUUUAUAUUUAUUUUGUUUUUAAUCCCUAUCCAGUUUGUUUUCUUGUCUCGACUCACCAAUACCACCAUUUCCCAAACAGACAUAAAGAGAAUUAAAUAUAAAAGAUAACAAAAUAAUAAUUCCCAAACAGACAUCAGAUUCAGACCACUAUUUUCCUCUUUUUCUUUUUCCUAUCCCUCACCCGUUCUCAUCCUUUCAAUUUUCCUCCUAUGUUUCUAGCAUAUCUCCUAUGUCCUCUCCUCAUAGUUGUCCACACGAUAAUUCCAUCAUUUUUCCAAUCUUUUGUUUAUCCUCAUUUCUCAGUCUCAAUUUUUUUUAUUUUUACUCCUGGUUCUAAUCUGAUUUCAAGAAAAUGUCCCUAUUCCAAGAUAAACUCAUUUCUUCUAAAAAAUAUCUCAAAAAAUUUAGAAGAUAAAUUUUACUCAAGCGGUGAGAGUCAAAUUUCACUUACCUUUUUUCUUAGUGACGGUGUUAAUUUGAUUGACAGAUUCCUCCCUUGUUCUGCUCCCGAUUCCACUACUAGCUUAUUAAUCUUAUUGAAGAAAUCGCAUAAAAACUUCCUCUCGGUUUACCCUAGCUCUGAAUUUUCUUCUCUUCCCCUGUAGCCCAACGUCCUCUUUUAAAAUUAAGGAGGAACCUCCAGAACUGUUGAGGAUGGCAACGAAAUCCCUAAAUUAAAUAGAUAUUACAAAAUAUUUUUUGAUAAUUGAGGCAUAAUUAAUAUUUUUACUUUUAAUAAUUAUGGUAGAAACUAAU
RNAcentral lists this long non-coding RNA (1760 nucleotides) under Carica papaya (papaya). RNAcentral's name for it is "long non-coding RNA (CPAP_LNC003244)". Lineage: Eukaryota; Viridiplantae; Streptophyta; Magnoliopsida; Brassicales; Caricaceae. The record is from RNAcentral.